Non-coding RNA from Phascolarctos cinereus (koala), 2942 nucleotides. The record is from RefSeq and is a predicted model, not a curated record. NCBI's taxonomy places the organism in Eukaryota, Metazoa, Chordata, Mammalia, Diprotodontia, Phascolarctidae.
GAACUGUACUAGAGUGGAGGCUGUGACUGGAAGAGAGGAUGGAUAUGAGAAACAUAGCAGGUCAAGGUGACUGUUAGGAGGAAGAGAGAGGGAGAGAAAAAAGAUCUUUGUUCUUUGAAAAAGCUCACUUAAAAAAAUGGAAAUGAUUUUAAAAAAUAAAUUUACUGGAAGACAUUUGUAAGAAUAGGAAGGACACAGCGUGAGAAGGCCAAGAAGUGAGCUAAAGAUUUCAAGAGAUAUUGCCUGUUCUUGUAGAAUCUGAUACUCCAGACUACCCCAACAGCAGCAAUCACCAGGGCAAACAUUAAGGACAUCCAGACUCCAGCAAUGGCCUCCACACUGCGCCCUGAAGGCUCCUGGUCCCCCAGAAAAGAAGGCUUCUAUAGGGCCCUUGACAAAGUGCCAGGGUUCAGAUGUGCCCUUUGAACUCACCCAAACCUGGCUUCCGUCUGAGUCCACCGGGGUGGUGGGUGUUUGGGUUGCUUUCAUUUAGCAUAGGAGGCUGGAGAAAGGGAGGGAAGGUAAAUAAGGGCCACCUGUUGGGCAAGUAGCCUAUUGGCUUCGAGGCAAUAGAGGAUUCGGUGCCCUUCACUGAGAUAGGCCUGGUGCUGGCUGUAGCCAGAGGGGCACUUCAUGGGGUAGUCCAUGGUGCUGUGCCAAUAAAAGAGCUCCUUCAGGAUCCCUGGGCUCUGCCCCUGCAGGAAGCCGGCCACAGGAUUGCCCAUCUGAAAGUUGAAGAAGCCUCUGAAGAGAAUGGCAGCCUUGGUAGCCAUCUCAGGGUCACUGCUGACACACGCUCUUGGAUCUUCAAGGACCAGCAGGGGUGGAAGUAGGUGGGGCACGAUUGGGUCUUUGUAAGUGGGUCCCCUUGCGUACUGAUGUACAGUCCCCCAAAGAGGAAGCCAGAGUUGGGGAAUACAGGUGACUUGGUGGGAGUGCACGAGGAGGUAGAUAAGCACAUCACAUUGGGGUAGUAGUGGGUGCUGCACAGGUUCUUGCAUCAUUUGAAGAGCAAUAGCAGCCGGUGCACUGCUGCCCACACCCCAUCUUAGACGUGUUGCUCACUUCAACAGGACUGCAGUGUAGUUCCAGGGGCAGGGGGUUCUGGGUACAGUAGAGUUUGCAGAAUGCCCCUGCGUCUGGCCCAGACACUGGCUGGCACUCCUGGAAUGACCCUCCCCCUGCCCAAAGUGAAGUUGUUCUAUGCCUCCAAGCACAAACAGUCUUCUGUCUUGGCCUGGAAGAUGACAUUGGAGGGUUUGGGCUGCAAGCAGCUCAGGCAGAUGUUGACUGAAUUGUACCGGCAGAUGGCAUCCUGCACCGAGAGAAAGGUGUUACAAGACCAAAGAGCAAACCUUGUCCCAACUAAAAACCAAUAAUGGGGUGGUGGAGGUAGUAAGGACAGGGAGGGAAAAUGGAGUGUUCCAACAGUGAUCAUGCCCAAUUCCUGAUCAAAUUCUAGGACACAACAUUAAAGCUUGUGAUUGCUUGGAAAAAGACAUCAGGGAUGGUUAAGAGCCAACUUGGCUUUGUCAAGAACAGAUCAUGUGAGACUAAACUUACUUUUUCUGGUGUUACUAGAUAAGCAGAUCAGGAGAAUGCUGGAGAAUGCCUUCCAUUUUUGUGGACAGAAUGACAAGAUCUGGGCUAGACUACAGUACAGUUAACUUGAUUUUUAAUUGAAAAGAAGAGAGCUCAUACAUCUUCCCAUGGUUCUCUGUUUUCUUCAUUGUCAUCAGUGAUGGCGUGCUUGUGCUCGGACCCCAGCCCUAGGACCAUAUCUCUCCUCAGCCCAAAGACUCUAUCUCUUGCAAUAUCUCACGAGUGGCCCCAGUGAGGCAAACUGUCUCUCCCUGUUACAAGACCAAGCUGACCUCUGUAGAAUUUCCCUCGGAUGAACAGGGCUGUCUUAUACCAGCAGGACUAUCAUGUACUAAUUCCCUCAAUUACCAUAUAUAAUCUAGAGGUCAAGCAAUAGACGUCAACUCUCGAGGAUAUCUUGCACAAACAAGACAGCCAUGCCAGUAGUGAAUGUCGCCUGUGCCCAAGGUACAGAAACUGUGUGUUCACCACCUAAUUAGCAUGGUUGGCAGACAAUGCACUGAACUUUUCCUAUAUAAGCUUUAGCAUCACCCCCAUUAGGUUGCAAAUUCCCCAAGGAACUCUGCCUGCCUUUAUUAGCAUUAUAAUAAACUUUUUGCCACUUGAUUGGAAGACUGCUUGAGUCUGAGAAUUCUUUCUAGACAACUCUGCCCUGAACCUCAGUAUUCUGGAGUUCCUGCAUCCCUAAACCACAUCAAUUAGUUAUUAUGAAUAUUCUAUUACAGUAGUGUAGCACAUUUUGUUUUGUCAUCUAAUUUUGAUUCUUUGCUGCUACAAAACCAAAAUUCUGCUACAAAUAUUUAGUUACAUAGGGUACCUUUCUGCAAUAGAUGACUAGCAGUAGAAUCUCUGGGUCAAUGAGUAGGGACAUUUUAAUAACUUUAGUGAUAUGAAAUUUAAUAGGAAUAAAUGUAUAUUCUUAUAUUGGCAUUAAACAAAUCAGCUUCUCAAGUUAUGAGGUCAGAAGAGGCAUCUGAAAAAAGUUCUGGGGGUUUCAAUGGAUUCCAAGAUCAUGAGCCAUAUGUGAUAUCACACCCAAGAAAUCUAAUAAUGGCCUGAGGCUUCUGAGUUGAGAGGUAGCAGAGUCCAGGAUUAGUAGAUAGGAGUGCCCCAUCUGUGAAGUCACAAAAACUUCAUAUGAAUGACAAAUUCUGCAACCUGUGGAACUCUGGACAAGUCAUUUUACUUCCCUGGGAGUCAAUUUCCAUAAAACUAUGGUAUUGGAUUAGAUAAUCUCUAAAUUCUAGGAUCCUAUAGUCCUCUUGUCCUUUGCCCUGGUCAGACCACAAAGAAUCAGAGAUGUAAAGCUGGAAGGGACCUUAGAGGUCACUGAGUGUAAG